This 29-nucleotide small RNA is filed under the name Bombyx mori (domestic silkworm). RNAcentral's name for it is "ovarian small RNA-5241". The record is from RNAcentral. Lineage: Eukaryota; Metazoa; Arthropoda; Insecta; Lepidoptera; Bombycidae.
GCACGAUGGGUCCCGCUUACACUUGAAUC